AUUCUUUUAGUAUUAAUCAGUACAGCCGACUUCCAAUCAGCUAGCCCUGGAUUCAAACCUAGGAAAGAAUA
RNAcentral lists this transfer RNA (71 nucleotides) under Histiotus montanus (small big-eared brown bat). RNAcentral describes it as "tRNA-Gly". It matches the Rfam family "tRNA". From Rfam's summary of the family: Transfer RNA (tRNA) molecules are approximately 80 nucleotides in length. Their secondary structure includes four short double-helical elements and three loops (D, anti-codon, and T loops). Further hydrogen bonds mediate the characteristic L-shaped molecular structure. tRNAs have two regions of fundamental functional importance: the anti-codon, which is responsible for specific mRNA codon recognition, and the 3' end, to which the tRNAs corresponding amino acid is attached (by aminoacyl-tRNA synthetases). tRNAs cope with the degeneracy of the genetic code in two manners: having more than one tRNA (with a specific anti-codon) for a particular amino acid; and 'wobble' base-pairing, i.e. permitting non-standard base-pairing at the 3rd anti-codon position. Lineage: Eukaryota; Metazoa; Chordata; Mammalia; Chiroptera; Vespertilionidae. The record is from RNAcentral.